RNAcentral lists this ribosomal RNA (1919 nucleotides) under Mycobacterium avium subsp. paratuberculosis. RNAcentral describes it as "bacterial LSU rRNA". It matches the Rfam family "Bacterial large subunit ribosomal RNA", at positions 1132 to 2925 of the family's 2925-position model. Lineage: Bacteria; Bacillati; Actinomycetota; Actinomycetes; Mycobacteriales; Mycobacteriaceae. The record is from RNAcentral.
GCGUAAUAGCUCACUGGUCAAGUGAUUAUGCGCCGAUAAUGUAGCGGGGCUCAAGCACACCGCCGAAGCCGCGGCACAUUCAUCUUUACGGUGGAUGUGGGUAGGGGAGCGUCCCCCAUUCAGCGAAGCCUCCGGGUGAUCGGUGGUGGAGGGUGGGGGAGUGAGAAUGCAGGCAUGAGUAGCGAUAAGGCAAGUGAGAACCUUGCCCGCCGUAAGACCAAGGGUUCCUGGGCCAGGCCAGUCCGCCCAGGGUGAGUCGGGACCUAAGGCGAGGCCGACAGGCGUAGUCGAUGGACAACGGGUUGAUAUUCCCGUACCCGUGUAUGGGCGUCCCUGAUGAAUCAGCGGUACUAACCACCCAAAACCGGAUCGACCAUUCCCCUUCGGGGGCGUGGCGAUUCGGGGCUGCGUGGGACCUUCGCUGGUAGUAGUCAAGCAAUGGGGUGACGCAGGAAGGCAGCCGUACCAGUCAGUGGUAAUACUGGGGCAAGCCCGUAGGGAGAGCGAUAGGCAAAUCCGUCGCUCACUAAUCCUGAGAGGUGAUGCAUAGCCGGUUGAGGCGAAUUCGGUGAUCCUCUGCUGCCAAGAAAAGCCUCUAGCGAGCACAUACACGGCCCGUACCCCAAACCAACACAGGUGGUCAGGUAGAGAAUACCAAGGCGUACGAGAUAACUAUGGUUAAGGAACUCGGCAAAAUGCCCCCGUAACUUCGGGAGAAGGGGGGCCGGAAUACCGUGAACACCCUUGCGGUGGGAGCGGGAUUCGGCCGCAGAAACCAGUGGGUAGCGACUGUUUACUAAAAACACAGGUCCGUGCGAAGUCGCAAGACGAUGUAUACGGACUGACGCCUGCCCGGUGCUGGAAGGUUAAGAGGACCCGUUAACCCGUAAGGGUGAAGCGGAGAAUUUAAGCCCCAGUAAACGGCGGUGGUAACUAUAACCAUCCUAAGGUAGCGAAAUUCCUUGUCGGGUAAGUUCCGACCUGCACGAAUGGCGUAACGACUUCCCAACUGUCUCAACCAUAGACUCGGCGAAAUUGCACUACGAGUAAAGAUGCUCGUUACGCGCGGCAGGACGAAAAGACCCCGGGACCUUCACUACAACUUGGUAUUGGUGUUCGGUACGGUUUGUGUAGGAUAGGUGGGAGACUUUGAAGCACAGACGCCAGUUUGUGUGGAGUCGUUGUUGAAAUACCACUCUGAUCGUAUUGGACACCUAACGUCGAACCCUUAUCGGGUUCACGGACAGUGCCUGGCGGGUAGUUUAACUGGGGCGGUUGCCUCCUAAAAUGUAACGGAGGCGCCCAAAGGUUCCCUCAACCUGGACGGCAAUCAGGUGGCGAGUGUAAGUGCACAAGGGAGCUUGACUGCGAGACUUACAAGUCAAGCAGGGACGAAAGUCGGGACUAGUGAUCCGGCACCCCCGAGUGGAAGGGGUGUCGCUCAACGGAUAAAAGGUACCCCGGGGAUAACAGGCUGAUCUUCCCCAAGAGUCCAUAUCGACGGGAUGGUUUGGCACCUCGAUGUCGGCUCGUCGCAUCCUGGGGCUGGAGCAGGUCCCAAGGGUUGGGCUGUUCGCCCAUUAAAGCGGCACGCGAGCUGGGUUUAGAACGUCGUGAGACAGUUCGGUCUCUAUCCGCCGCGCGCGUCAGAAACUUGAGGAAACCUGUCCCUAGUACGAGAGGACCGGGACGGACGAACCUCUGGUAUACCAGUUGUCCCACCAGGGGCACGGCUGGAUAGCCACGUUCGGACAGGAUAACCGCUGAAAGCAUCUAAGCGGGAAACCUUCUCCAAGAUCAGGUUUCUCACCCUUUUAGAGGGAUAAGGCCCCCCGCAGAUCACGGGAUUGAUAGGCCAGACCUGGAAGCUCAGUAAUGAGUGCAGGGAACUGGCACUAACCGGCCGAAAACUUACCAAC